RNAcentral lists this ribosomal RNA (257 nucleotides) under uncultured bacterium. RNAcentral's name for it is "partial 16S ribosomal RNA". It matches the Rfam family "Bacterial small subunit ribosomal RNA", at positions 524 to 776 of the family's 1533-position model. The record is from RNAcentral.
UACGUAGGGUGCAAGCGUUGUCCGGAAUUAUUGGGCGUAAAGAGCUCGUAGGCGGUCUGUCGCGUCUGCUGUGAAAACCUAGGGCUUAACUCUGGGCGUGCAGUGGGUACGGGCAGGCUAGAGUGCGGUAGGGGGAGACUGGAAUUCCUGGUGUAGCGGUGAAAUGCGCAGAUAUCAGGAGGAACACCGGUGGCGAAAGGCGGGGUCUCUGGGCCGUAACUGACGCUGAGGAGCGAAAGCAUGGGGGAGCGAACAGG